CCUACGGGAGGCAGCAGUGGGGAAUAUUGCGCAAUGGGCGAAAGCCUGACGCAGCGACGCCGCGUGAGGGAUGAAGGUCUUCGGAUCGUAAACCUCUGUCAGCAGGGAAGAACGGUCACUGUGCUAAUCAGCAGUGAAUUGACGGUACCUGCAAAGGAAGCACCGGCUAACUCCGUGCCAGCAGCCGCGGUAAUACGGAGGGUGCGAGCGUUAAUCGGAAUUACUGGGCGUAAAGCGCUCGUAGGCGGUAGGUCAAGUCAAGGGUGAAAUCCCCGGGCUCAACGUGGGAACUGACUUUGAAACUGGCAAACUGGAGUGUGUGAGAGGAUAGUGGAAUUCCAGGUGUAGGAGUGAAAUGCGUAGAUAUCUGGAGGAACAUCAGUGGCGAAGGCGACUAUCUGGCACAUAACUGACGCUGAGGAGCGAAAGCGUGGGUAGCAAACAGGAUUAGAUACCCCUGUAGUC
Molecule: ribosomal RNA, 465 nt
Filed under: uncultured bacterium
Lineage: Bacteria
Description: partial 16S ribosomal RNA
Rfam family: Bacterial small subunit ribosomal RNA
Source: RNAcentral